CCCACGCUGCACAGGCUCUGAUUGGACGACUCAUUGUGGCCUGAACCCUGUUCAAAAACAAACAAACCCACACAAGUACACGUCAGACAAAGAGUGGAAGGAUAUGCCAAGGGCUGGGAGGGACUAAACUUAAUUCACAGUUAAACAAACCAGGGGUGUGGAAGUGAGGGAUGACUGACUGUUUCUGACGGUUUCUCCCCAUGUCUACUCUCUGGUGAACAGAUAAGACAGAACCUGGUCAGACGGGUUCGGCCGUGGCGUGACGCUUUAGCGGGAGCCGCCAUUUUCUCUGCGACAGCACCAUGCUCUGGGCUCAGUUCUGCCUACGGCUGGCAUAGAGCCCAGUCCUGGCUCUCAUUCACUCUCUGGGCUUCGAAUCACUUCCCACAAAGGCAGCUCUCUAAGAUGGAGUCUACCACCAGCGCCACCAGGCAGGACCUCUAAUCAAAAGCCAGAGCGCUACUGCCAUAACAUCUGGUCAGGGUUUCUACGCGUAUGAGAGUGACAGGCAUUCCUGCCCUUCCCUACUUCCCCCUCCUGCCCGUUCCCUGUCUUGGCAGCCCUCCGCACUUGCAUAUGCAGCCGCCACAUCAUGAGCCAGUAGAAAAGGAUACCAUACCACACCAGCCAACAAACACAGACACACAGCUCUACAUUCUCAAGAGAGAGAGAGACGGAGGGGGCUCUCCUAUCCCUGACCAAGCUCAACCAGAAAGAGAAUCAAACAAAGAAAGGGAGAAACAAAGAGAAGGGGUGAGAGAGAGACAAAGACAGACAGAUAUGGUCCUGAAAUAAAAGUUCACUACUGAGAUCCUGUUGUCAGUCCUACAUUAGUAGAAAGGGUGGAGCGGGAAGGAGCAAGACCCUAUAUAGGCCUCUCUCAUCUCCAAUAAUAUAAUGUAGUAACACAGACCUUAGCCACGCCGACCCCAGUGAAGCGAGCCUCCAGCAGCUCCUGGCGUCGCGGGUCCAGGCUGUGCAGUUCCUCCAUCAUGGCUGCAGGGACAAUGAGCAAGAAACACACAAUUUGAUAUCAGAUCUGUUUACUUUCCAUAGCACAGACGAACAUCAUACAGAGUAAGCAUACAAGGGGCUGGAAAUCCUCUGACAACAGCUUGAAGAUUUAGUGACACGACCAGUUCAGGGUUGUCUAUAGAUGAAUGUGUUGAUGCAUGCAACUAUAAAUUCGUGGAAACUGACUCACGGAUAACCUCAGACACACCUGUUUUAUUUUUAUCAAGUCACCACCACUGAUUCCAACGCAGAACUUGAUCAACAACAAGAGAUGAAGCAAAGACUAAACAGGCAAGAGCUGAGCAUACUCCUGUGCUGACAAGGGACAUUUCAGCAAAUAUGGUUUCAAAACUGUGAUUACAGUAUCGUGAUAAGAUUAGUGAAUCUGAUGGAGUCAUUUUGCCACAUAGCUUCGUUGCCUAGCUAGAUAGCUGACAGUUUUGGCAAGAAGGGUCAGGCCAGCGACCAACCAACUUGUUAAUAGUAUAUCAAAUCAACUCGAUAGAUAACUAACUAGCUGAUCAAAGAGUACAGGCAGCUAUACAUCAUCCACUUGAAGGUGACAAAAUACUAACAAUGAGAGUAACAUGAUAGACAUUGCCAUGACUCAUGAUCAUGUGUUCAUUACACAUUAGUUGACAUGUGUCAAUAAUUCAGGUUCCCCCCUUGGCUAGUCUAUGGGAAUGGCUGCCUUGUUGGUAAUGGCAUUCCAAACAUGUUUUUGUUGCUAAACGCUUGUUGGCUAGCUAGUUAACUACAGUAGCCAGCUAACGUCCGACGUUAGCCACCUGGUGCAGCUAACUAUUAACUAGCAAGUUGGUCACUUCGUUGGCAAAUAUGUCUGAUAGGUAACUAAAAAAAACAGCAUUUUAUAUUUCCAAAUUAUAACUACUUGCAAAAUUGUCAAUUUAAAAGGGGGAAUAGAUAAGUAACGUUACUAGGCUAAGGGUGAUGGAUAGCGAUAUGGCAAAUGUCCGACUAACAUGGAAGGUUAGCUAGCUAGCGUUAGCUACAUGAAAACUGCUGUUUUUCAGGAAUAUUAUGUCCCAACCCAAAGUUAUGUGAGAAAUAAAACAUUAAUACAACUCGA
Molecule: long non-coding RNA, 2104 nt
Organism: Oncorhynchus nerka (sockeye salmon)
Lineage: Eukaryota; Metazoa; Chordata; Actinopteri; Salmoniformes; Salmonidae
Exons: 2
Source: RefSeq, a predicted model, not a curated record